Non-coding RNA from Oryza punctata, 206 nucleotides. The record is from Rfam. Lineage: Eukaryota; Viridiplantae; Streptophyta; Magnoliopsida; Poales; Poaceae.
AACAAGUAUAGUUUUGCACUGGUCAUGUCUAAUAUUUGGCUGUUCAUUUUAUUUAAAAAAUUUUUAUGAUUAGUAUUUUGUUGUUAUUAGAUGAUAAAACAUAAAUAGUACUUUAUGUGUGACUAAUUUUUUUAAUUUUUUCAUAAAUUUUUUAAAUAAGACGGACGGUUAAACGUUGAACACGGAUAUUCACGGCUGCGUUUAUU